UAUUUUAAAUAACAAACCACAUCACCAACUCGCUCACACAAAAAUGUGUCAAAAUUCUCAGUACUCCUCCAUUUGCAAUAUGAGGUGUAAGUACACCCACACCCCCAAAAGUUAUCUGGAUCCCUGUAUGAUGUAUUGGAAUCU
This is a long non-coding RNA of Haliotis rubra (blacklip abalone), 144 nucleotides long. RefSeq lists it as uncharacterized. The transcript has 3 exons. The record is from RefSeq and is a predicted model, not a curated record. NCBI's taxonomy places the organism in Eukaryota, Metazoa, Mollusca, Gastropoda, Lepetellida, Haliotidae.